AAAAACCUUAUAAAUACCGUUUAUAACCUUUUAAAACCUUAUAAAUAUUUGGAUUUAGUCUUCCAGUAGUAAUGAUGAUCUUGAUGUUCCUUAUCAACCAUAUAAAAGUUUAUAAUAUUUCAUAUUUGAAAAGGGGUAUUUUUGAAAAUGGAUAGAAAAGAGGGGUAUUUUUUAAAAGGGGUACACCAAAAGGGGUAUUUCUCAAAAA
RNAcentral lists this long non-coding RNA (208 nucleotides) under Capsella grandiflora. RNAcentral's name for it is "long non-coding RNA (CGRA_LNC001171)". Lineage: Eukaryota; Viridiplantae; Streptophyta; Magnoliopsida; Brassicales; Brassicaceae. The record is from RNAcentral.